GACGAACGCUGGCGGCAUGCCUAACACAUGCAAGUCGAACGAGACCUUCGGGUCUAGUGGCGCACGGGUGCGUAACGCGUGGGAACCUGCCCUUAGGCUCGGAAUAACUCCCCGAAAGGGGUGCUAAUACCGGUUAAUGUCUUCGGACCAAAGAUUUAUCGCCUUUGGAUGGGCCCGCGUUGGAUUAGCUAGUUGGUAGGGUAAAAGCCUACCAAGGCGACGAUCCAUAGCUGGUCUGAGAGGAUGAUCAGCCACACUGGGACUGAGACACGGCCCAGACUCCUACGGGAGGCAGCAGUGGGGAAUAUUGGACAAUGGGCGAAAGCCUGAUCCAGCAAUGCCGCGUGAGUGAUGAAGGCCUUAGGGUUGUAAAGCUCUUUUACCCGGGAUGAUAAUGACAGUACCGGGAGAAUAAGCUCCGGCUAAGUCCGUG
RNAcentral lists this ribosomal RNA (433 nucleotides) under uncultured bacterium. RNAcentral describes it as "partial 16S ribosomal RNA". It matches the Rfam family "Bacterial small subunit ribosomal RNA", at positions 28 to 507 of the family's 1533-position model. The record is from RNAcentral.